UACGUAGGAUGCAAGCGUUGUCCGGAAUUAUUGGGCGUAAAGCGCACGUAGGCGGUCUGUUAUGUCGGAUGUGAAAGCCCUUGGCUCAACUGAGGAAGUGCAUCCGAAACUGGCAGGCUAGAGUACGUAAGAGGGUCGCGGAAUUCCCGGUGUAGAGGUGAAAUUCGUAGAUAUCGGGAGGAACACCGGUGGCGAAGGCGGCGACCUGGGACGAUACUGACGCUGAGGCGCGAAAGCGUGGGGAGCAAACAGG
Molecule: ribosomal RNA, 253 nt
Filed under: uncultured bacterium
Lineage: Bacteria
Description: partial 16S ribosomal RNA
Rfam family: Bacterial small subunit ribosomal RNA
Source: RNAcentral